Molecule: ribosomal RNA, 573 nt
Filed under: Triticum aestivum (bread wheat)
Lineage: Eukaryota; Viridiplantae; Streptophyta; Magnoliopsida; Poales; Poaceae
Description: partial small subunit ribosomal RNA
Source: RNAcentral
ACAGAGUUUAUUGUCGGUAAUGGCAACAAUACCCGUUUCUGGGAGGAUACUUGGCUUGGUGAUACGCCAUUGGCGUUCCAGUACCUGUCCCUGUGUCGUAUUGUUCAACGACGUGAUGCGCUAGUUGCAAUGAUCAUGCAGUCCAUUCCAAUUAAUAUCCAGUUUCGGAGGGUGCUUGUUGGUGAUAGGUGGGAAGCAUGGCUUCAUUUGGUGACUAGACUGAUGGAGGUUCAGUUAGCUCAUCAGCCCGAUCAGUUGUGUUGGAAACUUACUAGGUCUGGAGCAUUUACAGUUAAGUCGAUGUAUAUCGAUGUAAUUAACUCUAGUGUCAUUCCUAGUUUAAAACAUGUUUGGAAAGUAAAAGUUCCUUUGAAGAUUAAAGUGUUUAUGUGGUUUGUACAUAAACAAGUCAUUUUAACAAAGGACAACUUGGUUAAGGGCAAUUGGACAGGAUCUACUAGGUGUAGUUUCUGUGAUUGGGGCGAGACCAUUAAGCACCUCUUUUGUGAGUGCCCGUUGGCGAGAGUUUUGUGGCGCACUGUGCAAAUUGCCUUUAACAUUACUCCUCCGAAU